AUUGAACGCUGGCGGCAUGCUUUACACAUGCGAGUCGAACGGCAGCGCGGGGCAACCUGGCGGCGAGUGGCGAACGGGUGAGUAAUAUAUCGGAACGUACCCAGAAGUGGGGGAUAACGUAGCGAAAGUUACGCUAAUACCGCAUACGAUCUACGGAUGAAAGUAGGGGACCGCAAGGCCUUAUGCUUUUGGAGCGGCCGAUAUCUGAUUAGCUAGUUGGUGAGGUAAAGGCUCACCAAGGCGACGAUCAGUAGCUGGUCUGAGAGGACGACCAGCCACACUGGAACUGAGACACGGUCCAGACUCCUACGGGAGGCAGCAGUGGGGAAUUUUGGACAAUGGGCGCAAGCCUGAUCCAGCAAUGCCGCGUGAGUGAAGAAGGCCUUCGGGUUGUAAAGCUCUUUUGUCAGGGAAGAAACGGUAGAGGCUAAUAUCCUUUGCUAAUGACGGUACCUGAAGAAUAAGCACCGGCUAACUACGUG
This 482-nucleotide ribosomal RNA is filed under the name uncultured bacterium. Its description in RNAcentral is "partial 16S ribosomal RNA". It matches the Rfam family "Bacterial small subunit ribosomal RNA", at positions 30 to 507 of the family's 1533-position model. The record is from RNAcentral.